This 468-nucleotide ribosomal RNA is filed under the name uncultured bacterium. RNAcentral describes it as "partial 16S ribosomal RNA". It matches the Rfam family "Bacterial small subunit ribosomal RNA", at positions 28 to 507 of the family's 1533-position model. The record is from RNAcentral.
GACGAACGCUGGCGGCGUGCUUAACACAUGCAAGUCGAACGGAAAGGCCCUGCUUUUGUGGGGUGCUCGAGUGGCGAACGGGUGAGUAACAUGUGAGUAACCUGCCCUUGACUUUGGGAUAACUUCAGGAAACUGGGGCUAAUACCGGAUAGGAGCUCCUGCUGCAUGGAGGGCGUUGGAAAGCUUCGGCGGGUGGGGGUGGACUCGCGGCUUACGAGCUUGUUGGUGGGGGAGCGGCCUACCAAGGCAUUGACGGGUAGUCGGCCUGGGAGGGUGACCGGCGACAAUGGGACUGAGAGACGGCGCAGACGCGAACGGGGGACAGCAGUGGGGAAUAUUGCACAGUGAGCGGGAGCCUGAUGCAGCAACGCCGCGUGCGGGAUGACGGCCUUCGGGUUGUAAACCGCUUUCGCCUGUGACGAAGCGUGAGUGACGGUAAUGGGUAAAGAAGCACCGGCUAACUACGUG